UAAGGAAUAUUGGUCAAUGGACGCAAGUCUGAACCAGCCAUGCCGCGUGGAGGAUGAAGGCCCUCUGGGUUGUAAACUUCUUUUCUUUGGGACGAAACCUCUAUUUCUAUGGAGACUGACGGUACCAGAGGAAUAAGCACCGGCUAACUCCGUGCCAGCAGCCGCGGUAAUACGGAGGGUGCAAGCGUUAUCCGGAUUCACUGGGUUUAAAGGGAGCGUAGGUGGACUUUUAAGUCAGUGGUGAAAUCUCUGGGCUUAACCCGGAAACUGCCAUUGAUACUAUUAGUCUUGAAUUCUCUGGAGGUAAGCGGAAUAUGUCAUGUAGCGGUGAAAUGCUUAGAUAUGACAUAGAACACCCAUUGCGAAGGCAGCUUACUACGGAGACAUUGACACUGAGGCUCGAAAGCGUGGGGAUCAAACA
This 421-nucleotide ribosomal RNA is filed under the name uncultured Lacibacter sp. RNAcentral describes it as "bacterial SSU rRNA". It matches the Rfam family "Bacterial small subunit ribosomal RNA", at positions 355 to 774 of the family's 1533-position model. The record is from RNAcentral. Lineage: Bacteria; Pseudomonadati; Bacteroidota; Chitinophagia; Chitinophagales; Chitinophagaceae.